Molecule: non-coding RNA, 148 nt
Organism: Homo sapiens (human)
Lineage: Eukaryota; Metazoa; Chordata; Mammalia; Primates; Hominidae
Rfam family: Metazoan signal recognition particle RNA
About the family: The signal recognition particle (SRP) is a universally conserved ribonucleoprotein. It is involved in the co-translational targeting of proteins to membranes.
Source: Rfam
GCCGGAUGUGGUGGCGCACACCUGUAGUCCCAGCUACUCUGGAGGCUGAGGUGGGAGGAUCACCUGAGCCUGGGAGGUCAAGGCUGCAGUGAGCCAUGAUUAUGCCACUGCACUCCAGCCUGGGCAACAGAGUGGGACCCUGUCUCAA